Molecule: non-coding RNA, 68 nt
Organism: Trichonephila inaurata madagascariensis
Lineage: Eukaryota; Metazoa; Arthropoda; Arachnida; Araneae; Nephilidae
Source: the annotation of a GenBank genome assembly
GUAUUGCUCAGUGGUAGAGCAUUCGACUGCAGAUCGGGAGGUACCCGGUUCAAACCCGGAUGUCUGCA